CCCCCCUCCUCCCAUGAAAGCCCUCUCCUCCCCCUUGGAAAGCGACAAAGAUCCCCGAGGAGUUCUCCUUCUCCGCAGCGAUCUUGUCGCCGCCUGGUUCUUUCGGUUAUCUUGGUUCCCGUUGGCGGUGGACGGAACCGCACGGUCCUUCGAUCUCAAGAUCGUGAGGAGAAACUAAUCUUGGCGGCUCCGGAGGCCGCCUCUUAUUGGAUCAGGUAUCCGAUCGGGAAGCAGGCGGAGGAUUGCUUCGCUGCCGUGUUCGAGAUUCCGAAUCUUUCCAAUGGCCGGAGGGCCCGUGACCCGACCCAGGAAGAGCACGCUCGGCCCGAGAUUCCUUGCCCCGGUAAGCUCGAUUCACUUCUUGCAGCAGAUGAAUUGUACUCGUACUCGUGGCACAAAUCUUGAAGGUUUUCCGAGGGUUUUAGUCCCUUAAAGACGUGUUUGAAGAAACAUAGCUAAUAACUCUCAGAAUUAGAGACAAGAACCUUAGUAUCGCCCAGUAUAGAUUGGUGUUCAUUGCUUGGUUCGGUCAAUGUUGUGAGCUUAGGAAUGGUAAGCUUGGUUUCAGACAAGAUCGGGUGAAAUCACCCAGACUUAAUUCCUUGGUCUUAAGCAUGCACAUUCCCGAAGCUAUAAAUUUCAUGUAUAUAGAACUAUGGACCUCAGUAGGAAGAUCAAACAUUUGCUAAAGGCAAAUUUCCUGUUUGGUAUGUAUAAGUUUCAUGCACAUUCCCGUAACAUUCCUUUUUUACUUGAAGAAAAGGAAAUUCAAAGGAAAUAUCAGCAAUUGCUUUGUCUAAGAUAAGAGGCAUCUUAUUCUACAAAUUUUGUCAUGAAGAAUUACAACUCCACAUUACCACCAGAGUAUAACUAUAUAAGGAACUUGAAAAAGCAAAAAGAAAAUCGAGGCCUAAACUAACCUUUUCACAUAAUAUUUUGACCACCUUAUAUCCCAUAUGAGUUGUUAGAUAUGAACCAGUGUUCCUAUGCUGAUUUAUGAAGAAAUACAACAUGCUGUAUUUUGGUUGUUUUUAUGUAUACUCGUAUAGAGAACUACCACAAUAUAGUGUUUUUUUUUUUUUUGCUUCUGCUGUGACUUCUAAUACUCUGUGUUUGUCAAAAUUGUGAUACAAUCAUUUUAACAAAUGCCCUUCUAAAUUUCUGUUCUUAAUUUCAAGAUUGGUCUAGAACUUGGGAGAAAAACACUGGAAUUUGGUACCGUACUCAUCACACUUCAAAAAUUCAUCAAGUCACAAUUUCUUGGUCUCUUGAUACUGAAACCUGCUGCACUUGAAAGACCAAUAUGCAGAGGCCACAUUAACUGUACAUAUUGUGGCACUCCAUUAAUCCUAAUAGCAGAACACUGUUUAGAUUCAUAUUCUGCAUGGAAACUUUCAAACAUCUCAUGCUUUAGCUCCUUGGAUAAUUAAUAAGUCCACAUUAUAUAAGGAUGAAUAGCAACUAUGGAAUGUAUGGAUCGAGUUUCCUCCAUGUAUCAGGUGUGCCUUCUUGUACAUGUUCACAGAAGGAUUAAGACUUGGACUGGUAAUCCAUCAUGGUUGAAAAGUUUAUUCUCUCCUGAAGUCCAUUUAUUCAUGUCUUUCAUAUUCAAAAUCUUACAAAAUGAACUGAUCAGGAUCAUUUGGGUGUUCUUUUUAUGUGGAUAGAGUAUUAGCAUCGUCAAGCUUCAGUGGAGCCAACCUCCAUGAAUUGUGACUAAAAAAAAACCUAUGCCAAGUAAUCCAGUCCUAGUGGAGGGUAAUCUAAAUUAUAAUGCCCCAGCCCUAGCUAGAAGCUAGGAGUGAUGCAAUGCUGUAAUCCCCGUAAGAAAACCUUGUGAGAAUUACAAGGUCUAAACCUGCACAAAUUAUAUGUUUCAUGUAUAUAUCCUUUAAGUCAUGCUCAAUCAUAUGUACAUGAAAUAUGUCACCUGUUCAUGUUUAGGCCUUGUGGAUUGCGGUGUUGUACCACUCCUAGCUUCUAGCUAGGGCUCGUGCGUUACGAUUGAUGGUACCAGAAUUGCUAGGUUUGUGGAACACUUUCUACCAAGUAUGUCAGUACCAAUUUAUGUAUCAUCAGGUGAGUUGAAUUUAAGACAAAGAAGUAGAACUCUUGAAAAAUUAUGAGCGAGGAGGUUUAGUGUUGGACCAUUCAUUGAGCAUUGUGCAUUUGUGUGUUCGUGUGCAUAUGUUUAUAUAUGAGUGUACAUAUACACACGUAUAAAAGUGUAUUGGUUUUCCUCCCUCCUAAUUUUAGCAUGAUUGUGGUGACAUAUGAGACCAUGCCCACAAGACAUACUUGUCCAUCCACUGGUUGACGAGGUGUUGUAGGAUGCAAAAUGUCAUUCUUUGGUUUUAUGUAGCUUGGAAUUGUCCAAAUGAAACCUUUAAAUGCAUUAAUUAGUUAACAUUCCUAGUCUGACUAAUUGUAUUUGCCUCAAAGGGGAACGGCUAAUCAGUAAAGAAUUUGGCUUAUUGUAAAUCAGUUUUCAUGCCCGUUUUCUUUUCCCCUAUGAUUUCCAUUUUAUCAUGGAAGAAGAGAUAUUAAGAUGUUUACUUAUCCUCAGUUUGUGUUGGUGGUGAGUGCUGAGUGGUGAUGGCAGCUGCAUAGGUUGGUGUUGGUCGCAUUAGAAAGAGGCAAUGGUAACAAUAAAUGGUGGUUGUGAUGCAGCUUUGAAGGUGGGUCAACCAUGUCCAUAAGUAUUCUUUUUCUUGUUGUAGCUUUUCCAAAUUUAAUUCAGGAUCAUUCUCUGCAAGUAAAGAGGGUGGCAACCAAUUUGCAAUGUAUCUUUGACUGCCAAUUAUUAUUGUUUAUAUUCUUUCCAUCACCAUAUUGACUACCAUUUCUUCUUACUUGAGGGAAGCAGCACACAACAAGUGCAUGGUAAAAGCGCCAGAGGCGAAAGCUGGGAUGUAUCGAGUAAGGCCGCUGUCGGUUAUAGACAUGGAUGUGAUUCGAUGACAUGUUAGAUUAUGAAGGUGACUGAUAUCUUCUUGAUGCUUUCUUGGGCAGACAUGUCUUUGGGUCAUCACCACCCCGACAAAAGAGGAGGAGGAGAAGGGAGAACGCCAUCACCGAUUCGUGUGUGUUCUUCACCCAACUAUUAGUGGUACAUAAGCAGGCUUUUCCUAAGGCAGAACACUCGACAUCUUCGUUCCUACGCUUCAGAUAUCAAUCGACCUCGCAGCCGUUCACAGCCUUCGGACGGAUCGGGCGACAACAGCAGAGCAGUCGGCGGUGGCGGUAACGCCGGCCUCGUGACGCGGCUUCUUCAUCUCCCUCGUCGACAAGUCCGCCGGCACCGACCUCGUCGCCCUCUCCGUCCUCUUCGGGUUCCGCCCGUUCUCGAGGUCCACCGCGACGCCGGGUUCCUCGGCCAGCGUGGUCUCAUCCUUCCUCCUCCUCUGCAGCCUCUCGUUCCUCCGCGCCGAGUAGAGCUCGUAGAACCGUCCUCGUUCGAACACGGCGGGCGCGGUUGCCGCAUCAGGGACGCCGUCACCGCCCCCGGCUCCCAGGACCAGCUUCGCCAACAAGUCCGACGAGAUGCAGACCGGGGACUCGGUCCAGGGAUGCGGUUUCUUAGGGUCCUCCGCUGGAGGAGUAGAUGGAGAAAGAACCGAAUUAACGCUCCGUGUUAGGACCGGGCGGCUCGGUUUGGUGGCACCCGGCGGGGCCCGGCCCGACUGGCUUCGGCGGGGGCGAAGGCGGCGUGGGGGCACCGCGAGCGACGGCCGACUUCGAUGCAUCGGGAAUUCCAGAUGCUGCCGCUCCUGCUGUACCAGGUUCAUGUCACACCUCAUAUCUCUCUCUCUCUCUCUCCCUCUCCCUCUCCCUCUGAGCGGCUGGGUGGAGGAGAGGACGAUGGCGGAGGAUUUAUGUGACGCCGGACUGCUUCUUGUGUCAUUUAGUUAUAAUACCUAAUCUUUUUAGGGGUCAAAAAUAGGGAGUCAGUUACGGGGCCAAUCUCGAAGACUUUGGAACGUACUCGUCCUUAUCGGAUAAGAAGCGACUGCCAACGAUAAGCUUAUCGGCCGAUAAGCAAGAGUCUUUGACCUGUCGUUAUAACCUAUGCGAUACUGAUAUCACCCAUGCAGACAAGCACCUCCACAUUAUUCGUUUGGUUAAUUACAUAUUCUUCCCUAUAAUUAGUUAUUUUUAAUAUUUCAAUAUUUUUAAUAUUUUUAUUUUUUAAAAAAUUAUAUUAGUAUCUUUAUAAUUAUGAAAGUAAAAUAUAUAGAUCAAUUUACUUUAAUAACGUUAAUUUUUUUGAUAAAAAUAUGAAAAUAAAGAGUAAAAUUUUUUUUUAGCGUUGUGGCAGACGAUGUCGAUGGUGGCUGAUGAUGACGUCGUUGGCAUCGGCACUGAUGCAAUUACUUGACCAUCUUCGAUGAUGAUAAGAUCUACUCUCAUCGCAACGUCACCUACCUCCACAACAAGCGCGUUAUUAACCUCAUCGUUGUUCGUCUCGCGUCGCUCUACAUCGAUGCAAAUGGUGGUGGUCGUCACGAUGUUUAUGGCAAAGAUGGUGGUCGCCUUAUCGUUGAUCCGACGGAUAGAUCGUAGCCUCGACCCCUCCCCCUUUGUAGUUGUGUUGGCAUCUACGUAGAUGCUGAGCGAUCGCUGCACUAAACAUCAUGCUUGAAAAUAGAGGGCCUAACCACCAACCUCCUCUACCUCCACCAGAGCAAUCUGUCGAUCGUGCACACUAACCUCAAACUCUCCAGCAUUCUGCUUGGCUUACACUUCAAGUCCUACCUCGCCGACUAUGCUCUCAUCCCGUCCCUCCUCCUCUGGCCUCACCUCACGACCACAUUACCCCCUCCUCUUUUGCUGCAUCCUCCUACCUUGCCGACUAUGCUCUCAUCCUGUCCCUCCUCCUCUGGCCUCACCUCAUGACCUCAUUACCCCCUCCUCUUUUACCACCCUCCUCCCUCACCAAUAAGACCCCCUUCCAAGACCUGGUGGGAGAGUGCGACGGCAACAUCCCUCGAUGGGUCCGCUCUAUGGAGAGGAGUGAAAUGACUCCGAUGAGGAUCCCAGGUUGUCCAUGAAUGAGACAUGUGUAGCGAUCAAGGUGGAAAAACAAUCGUUGAUGCAGGAGGUGCUAUGGAUGAUUAGGGAGGCAUUGACGAAUGUAAUUGUCUUAUCCAAUCGCAACGAUCACUUGUCGACGAGGUGGUCGAACACGAUGUAGAGCUUACCGAGAGAGCAUGGAUCGGAGGGUGAUGGUUGCUCGGUCGACAAAGAUACAAAAGGAGAAAGGUCCACCACCACCGAUGCCAUCGACGUCAUCUAUCAUCACCGAACGAUAAAAUUAAUUUUUUACCUUAUAUUUUUAUAUUUUCAUCGAUAAAACUAAUGUCGUCAGGGUAAAUAGACUUAAUUGUUUCACUUUCAUAAUUAUAGAAAUAUCAAUAUAACUUUUCAAGAAAUUUAAUCAAUAGCUUUUCAUUAUUUGAAGCAAAAAAUACUUCGAAUUUCCUUCUUUUCUUUGAUGUGAUUCAGUUUCAAAUAUACAGGAAGGCAAAUUCCAAUCGGCCG
Molecule: long non-coding RNA, 5541 nt
Filed under: Musa acuminata (dwarf banana)
Lineage: Eukaryota; Viridiplantae; Streptophyta; Magnoliopsida; Zingiberales; Musaceae
Description: long non-coding RNA (MACU_LNC006694)
Source: RNAcentral